CCAGUAGGUGGCGCUGUGUAUGGAGAGAAACAGGGAUAGGAAGCUACAUCUUAUCCCUGUUUCUCUCUCCUGAUUGAAUCCACAGGGGAGCAGCACAUCAACUCCCAGAUUGCAGAGACAGCCUAAAGAUCAGGUAUGGGGGUGGGGCAGCCUACAGAUCAGGUAUGCGGUGGGGGCGCCAGCCCUGAGAUUAGGUAGGUGAGACAUGGUGGGGGGAGGGGAGCAGCCUAC
Molecule: non-coding RNA, 231 nt
Organism: Pelobates cultripes (western spadefoot toad)
Lineage: Eukaryota; Metazoa; Chordata; Amphibia; Anura; Pelobatidae
Source: the annotation of a GenBank genome assembly